AUGCCCAACGGCUUACAGUUCAGCUCGCAUUCGGCAUCGUCUGAUAAAGAAAUAUCGAUUGCUCCCAGUUAUAUUGAUGACCCUGGAAAUCAACUUUAUUGUAUGCAGCACAUUGAUAUGCACGAAUAUCGAAUGAUUCCGUUGGACAUGGAAGGUCAUUGCAUAUCUGAUAGCGCUUGGAGAGGCCGACACAAGUAUCACUCGUAUAUACUCUACCUGAUGUAGAAUUUCUGCAAAAUCCAAAUCAAAGAGAAUUGGAUAAACCCACAACAUCUUUCUGGGCAUAAAUAACUGUAAAACGAAAUUUAUUUUGUAUAUCUUUUAACUUUAUUUCUUUUUUUUUAAAUUAUUUUAGACAAAUGCUGAUGAUAAAUCAUAGUUUAAACUUCA
Drosophila grimshawi is the source of this 390-nucleotide long non-coding RNA. RefSeq lists it as uncharacterized. The transcript has 3 exons. NCBI's taxonomy places the organism in Eukaryota, Metazoa, Arthropoda, Insecta, Diptera, Drosophilidae. The record is from RefSeq and is a predicted model, not a curated record.